CCAGUUUUUUUUUCUUUUAGAUAAAAAUGUAUUCAUUCAUUCAUAUAUGCUUGGGCACCUGUCACAGUGUUUGACAGUUUUGGUAACCAUUCGUCCAAAGGUUGUUAAUUUUGAAAUGCUCAAGCCUGGAAUCUGCAAGUCUGAGACUUCGGAAGCCACUGAAUGAGCUGUUCAUGUUUUUGAUAAUAAAAAGUUUGUUUUUUGUUCACACAUUCAUAUCUACAUAGAUCAUGGAACUGCUUAUCCAGAGUUAUUUCAUUGUGUGCCAUUGUCAACAUGUUUGUGUGGCCACGAUGACCAGGAUCUGCAUCAUCUGUUGCUUGACUGCCCCAAGUACAUCAUACAUAGACAGAAACUUCGACGGAAACUCCACAUUCCAGUGAACAUUCUUUUUGGUGAAAAUGCCAGGCUCAUUACCAUCUGAAUAAAUUACGAAGCA
Rhipicephalus microplus (southern cattle tick) is the source of this 439-nucleotide long non-coding RNA. The record is from RefSeq and is a predicted model, not a curated record. NCBI's taxonomy places the organism in Eukaryota, Metazoa, Arthropoda, Arachnida, Ixodida, Ixodidae.